UUUGAUAAACUAAUGAGUUAGGGCUAUAUUACGGCUGUGGUUUUUGGAUUUUCCUGUCAGUU
This 62-nucleotide transfer RNA is filed under the name Sindiplozoon sp. DZ-2018. RNAcentral describes it as "tRNA-Arg". The record is from RNAcentral. Lineage: Eukaryota; Metazoa; Platyhelminthes; Monogenea; Mazocraeidea; Diplozoidae.